UGGGGAAUAUUGCACAAUGGGCGCAAGCCUGAUGCAGCCAUGCCGCGUGUGUGAAGAAGGCCUUCGGGUUGUAAAGCACUUUCAGCGAGGAGGAAGGUGGUGAGCUUAAUACGCUCAUCAAUUGACGUUACUCGCAGAAGAAGCACCGGCUAACUCCGUGCCAGCAGCCGCGGUAAUACGGAGGGUGCAAGCGUUAAUCGGAAUUACUGGGCGUAAAGCGCACGCAGGCGGUUUGUUAAGUCAGAUGUGAAAUCCCCCGGGCUCAACCUGGGAACUGCAUUUGAAACUGGCAAGCUAGAGUCUCGUAGAGGGGGGCUAGAAUUCCAGGUGUAGCGGUGAAAUGCGUAGAGAUCUGGAGGAAUACCGGUGGCGAAGGCGGCCCCCCUGGACGAAGACCGACGCUCAGGUGCGAAAAGCGUGGGGCAGCAAACAGGAUUAGAUACCCUGGUAGUCCACGCUGUAAACGAUGUCGAUUUGGAGGUUGUGCCCCUUGAGGCGUGGCUUCCGGAGCUAACGCGUUAAAGUCGACCGCC
This 533-nucleotide ribosomal RNA is filed under the name uncultured bacterium. RNAcentral describes it as "partial 16S ribosomal RNA". It matches the Rfam family "Bacterial small subunit ribosomal RNA", at positions 355 to 873 of the family's 1533-position model. The record is from RNAcentral.